CCCUUAGAUGUUCUGGGCCGCACGCGCGCUACACUGACGAUGGCAACGAGUUUUUCCUUCGCCGAAAGGUGUGGGUAAUCUUUUGAAACAUCGUCGUGCUGGGGAUAGAUCAUUGCAAUUUUUGAUCUUGAACGAGGAAUUCCUAGUAAGCGCGAGUCAUCAGCUCGAGUUGAUUACGUCCCUGCCCUUUGUACACACCGCCCGUCGCUACUACCGAUUGAAUGGUUUAGUGAGGACUCCUGAUUGGCGCCGCCGCCCCGGCAACGGAGCAGCGGACUGCCGAAAAGUUGUUCAAACUUGAUCAUUUAGAGGAAGUAAAAGUCGUAACA
RNAcentral lists this ribosomal RNA (329 nucleotides) under uncultured eukaryote. Its description in RNAcentral is "partial 18S ribosomal RNA". It matches the Rfam family "Eukaryotic small subunit ribosomal RNA", at positions 1470 to 1796 of the family's 1831-position model. The record is from RNAcentral.